RNAcentral lists this ribosomal RNA (253 nucleotides) under uncultured bacterium. RNAcentral describes it as "partial 16S ribosomal RNA". It matches the Rfam family "Bacterial small subunit ribosomal RNA", at positions 524 to 776 of the family's 1533-position model. The record is from RNAcentral.
GACGAACCGUGCGAACGUUGUUCGGAUUCACUGGGCUUAAAGGGCGCGUAGGCGGAUGGUCAAGUCGGGGGUGAAAUCUUUCAGCUUAACUGGAAAAGUGCCUCCGAUACUGAUCGUCUCGAGGGAGGUAGGGGCAUGUGGAACUUCCGGUGGAGCGGUGAAAUGCGUAGAUAUCGGAAGGAACGCCGGUGGCGAAAGCGACGUGCUGGACCUCCUCUGACGCUGAGGCGCGAAAGCUAGGGGAGCAAACGGG